Molecule: long non-coding RNA, 485 nt
Organism: Sorghum bicolor (sorghum)
Lineage: Eukaryota; Viridiplantae; Streptophyta; Magnoliopsida; Poales; Poaceae
Exons: 3
Source: RefSeq, a predicted model, not a curated record
GUUCUCCAGCCACAACCACAGCAACUGGCAAGCCUCUGAAUCCAUGCAUCCUUAGUUCCCUUUCCUUCUGCACUUCGGCAGCAACCACAGUUUGUUGAGCGUGUUGUGCGAGCUCAGAUAGCUCAGCUCGCUCCAUGGAGCCCUUCUGCUUCAGUUUGCAGGUCAGUCGGCAUACCACCGCUACUUAUCUGCCCUCAACUGCAAGAAUUUUGCUAGAAACAAAUCCAUAUUGUUCUUACUGUACUUUUAUGUUCUUAUUACUCCCUUUGUAUCCUAGAUAAUCAGCUGUAUGCUAAUUGUGUCAUCACUUUUUUUUUUGCGAGUAAUUGCGUCAUCACUUAUCACUGCUGUCCAUAGACAUCGCACCAAGCACUUUGGAAGAUUUGGAGCUGUUCCAAUAAGAACAACGAAUCUAAUGGUGUGAAAAGUUAUAUGUCCUGAAGACGGUGAGCCGUACGUUGGUGAUCAAGACCAAACCUUUGAGG